UAGGGAAUCUUCCACAAUGGACGCAAGUCUGAUGGAGCAACGCCGCGUGAGUGAAGAAGGUCUUCGGAUCGAAAACUCUGUUGUUAGAGAAGAACACGAGUGAGAGUAACUGUUCAUUCGAUGACGGUAUCUAACCAGCAAGUCACGGCUAACUACGUGCCCG
RNAcentral lists this ribosomal RNA (163 nucleotides) under uncultured bacterium. Its description in RNAcentral is "partial 16S rRNA". It matches the Rfam family "Bacterial small subunit ribosomal RNA", at positions 355 to 511 of the family's 1533-position model. The record is from RNAcentral.